CUCAACAGUCAACUUCUGAGCUGGCAGAAGAAAUAAUUAGUGAACUUAAAGAUAGUUGAAUAGAAAUGAUCUAAUCCAAAGGACAGAGGAUAAGAAAAGGAAGAAAAAGGAACAGUCUCAGAGACCUGUGAAUCUACUUGCUUAGAAUCCACUUACAUAAAAAAUCCUGUUAAUUGGCAAAUCACAUCACUCAAUUUUCUAAUCUGUUAACUCAUCCUUCUGUGAGUGGAGGGGACAUUAAUAUCAGGUCUGGGCUGAUGCAAGCCUGCCACUGACUACAAUACUGUUUCCUUGGAAACUGCAGAAUUAAGAUCCCCAGCCCGCAGUAUGCCACGUUCCUUUGCAAGGGUCCCAGCGAGCUGUUCCUACCCGGCCUCUUCACCCCCAACUGCAGGGUCUGCAGCUGAGCUGUCCAACCUAGUCCAGUUGGUCUCUGGACAGAUACAGACGACCGAGUCCUUAAUCUAGCGCCAAGCAGCAGAAUCAAGAUCAGAAUCUCAAGUCCUGUGAGCAGGUGAAGAUGGGUUUUGAUGGGAAAUUCAAGGAUCAUCAGAGGACCCUAAGGUGAU
Molecule: long non-coding RNA, 569 nt
Organism: Talpa occidentalis (Iberian mole)
Lineage: Eukaryota; Metazoa; Chordata; Mammalia; Eulipotyphla; Talpidae
Exons: 5
Source: RefSeq, a predicted model, not a curated record